AAAGAGAGAGAGAGAAGAGAGAAGAGAGAAGAGAAGAGAGAGACACAAACAGAGAGAGAGAGAGAGAGAGAGACUGCAAGCCAGACAUGGUAGACAUGCCUGCAAUUUCACUUACUCAGAAGGAAGAUUAUGCCAGGUGGAAUCACAGGUUGUCUCACACACAUAGUUCCCAUGAAUGAAGAUCCACAUAGUUUCUGAGUGAUCAUGCAGACAGGGUACCUCUGUUCAGCAGGGCUCUCACCUUCAGAAAUCUUCUAAGUCUCUGGCUACAUGCUUGCCUGCCUGUGGAUCAGCUACUAGUUUGUCACUCCCGUCAGCUGUGGCCUGCAUGAUAGGGUUUGUACUGGGCAGCUAUUGCUGUGUAAGGAAAACUCCCAUAUGGUCUUA
This is a non-coding RNA of Marmota flaviventris (yellow-bellied marmot), 387 nucleotides long. Lineage: Eukaryota; Metazoa; Chordata; Mammalia; Rodentia; Sciuridae. The record is from RefSeq and is a predicted model, not a curated record.